AUAAAGUUAGGUAGGUGAAGAUAGAUGAGCUUGCCUGGUGUUCCCGGUAAAUUUCUCCUCUUCUUCACUGAAUUUGUAGUAGGGUUAGGGUUAGGGUUUGGAGUUGGUUCUUGAUGAACAAAGCCUCUGAAGGUAGAGGAGGGAACAGAAAACCCAUCUUCAGACAUCAUUGUAAUGGGUAUCCAGAAGUCGAGAGUAAGUGGGUUUGUGUCCUAAAACUAGCUAAAAG
RNAcentral lists this unclassified non-coding RNA (229 nucleotides) under Hevea brasiliensis (rubber tree). Lineage: Eukaryota; Viridiplantae; Streptophyta; Magnoliopsida; Malpighiales; Euphorbiaceae. The record is from RNAcentral.